GUGGUUUUGGUUCAGUUCUCCACAUCAAUCUGUGAUUUUAUUUUUUUUAAGUCCAGCGAUUUUCUCUUAAUAUGCCCUUUUUUGUAUGCAUCAUGUACCCCUAAUGUACAUACAGUAUUUUUCAUUAAUAUAUGCAUCUAUAUGUACGCAUCACCACAGUGUGUUCUCUUUUGGGCCUUCUCCAACUGGCCCAGGGGGCGUGGCCCAGGCCCUCUCUCCCAGCUAUAAAGGGACUCCUGCUGCGGGGAGGCCUCGGACCAUCGGCUGGGUGAGGACUGCAGGGCCUGCUCCCUUCCAGGGCCUUCUCCAACUGGCCCAGGGGGCGUGGCCCAGGCCCUCUCUCCCAGCUAUAAAGGGACUCCUGCUGCGGUGAGGCCUCGGACCAUCAGCUGGGUGAGGACUGCAGGGCCUGCUCCCUUCCAGGGCCUUCUCCAACUGGCCCAGGGGGCGUGGCCCAGGCCCUCUCUCCCAGCUAUAAAGGGACUCCUGCUGCGGUGAGGCCUCGGACCAUCAGCUGGGUGAGGACUGCGGGGCCUGCUCCCUCCAGGGCCUUCUCCAACUGGCCCAGGGGGCGUGGCCCAGGCCCUCUCUCCCAGCUAUAAAGGGACUCCUGCUGCGGUGAGGCCUCGGACCAUCGGCUGGGUGAGGACUGCAGGGCCUGCUCCCUUCCAGGGCCUUCUCCAACUGGCCCAGGGGGCGUGGCCCAGGCCCUCUCUCCCAGCUAUAAAGGGACUCCUGCUGCAGUGAGGCCUCGGACCAUCGGCUGUGGGGAAGACUGCAGGGCCUGCUCCCUUCCAGGGCCUUCUCCAACUGGCCCAGGGGGCGUGGCCCAGGCCCUCUCUCCCAGCUAUAAAGGGACUCCUGCUGCAGUGAGGCCUCGGACCAUCGGCUGUGGGGAGGACUGCAGGGCCUGCUCCCUUCCAAGGCCUUUUCCAACUGGCCCAGGGGGCGUGGCCCAGGCCCUUAUUUGGAACAAACUUUUGGGGAAGCUGGGAAGUGUUCUGCAAUUGCUUCCCUGUUCCAAGUGGUUAAUGUGUUUUAAAAUGUCCUCAAGCAGUCGGUGGCAAUUUAAAUUUGUAUUUCUUUUUUUCCUUUUUUCCUUUGUUGGGGGUGGGUGGGUGGGAUGGAUAUUUGGUUGGGGAUUAAUUUUAGUAUAAUUGUUCUGUUUUUGUUUUCUGUUGUUUUAUUGGUUCUGUAUAGUUUGUGUUUUGUUUUUAAGGGGCGGGAUCAGGGCUGCCUGGGAGUGGGGCCCCAGCCAACACGAUGGCUGGGACAAGUUCCACAGGGGGGGAAGCACUGGGACAUCCGAUCUCGGUGAUCAUGGGCAGGAGGAGGAGUUACGCUAAGACCAGACCAUGUCAUUACCGAGGAGGCAGGUUUAGUCGUUGUUUGAAGACUAUCCCUGCCUCCGGGUCUGGCCUUGACCGGAUGGAUACUGGAAUCAACAGGGGAAACCCACAUGACCUGAAGGUGUUGCUGUGUAAUGCCAGGUCAAUGAUGAAUAAAACCACUGCCAUCCACGACCUGAUUGUGGAUGGAGGAUUUGACCUGGCAUGUGUGACAGAGACCUGGUUGGAGGAAGCAGAUGGGCCUGUCCUUGCUGCCGCUUGCCCACCAGGUUUCUCUUACGCACAGCAACCCAGGUCAUGUGGGCGGGGAGGGGGGGUUGCAGUGAUUUUUAGGAAGUCAUUAGUUUGCAUCAGGCGUCCUACUGGGAAGACCCAGUUUUCUGAGUGCAUGUUCUGGAAGUUGGGCAAUAGGGGCAGUACAGGAUUCCUUUUGGUGUACCGACCUCCCCGCUGCACCAAGGAUUCCCUGUCCGAGCUGCUUCAGGUCGUGGCGGAUGUUCUCCUGGAGACACCUAGUUUGGUUGUCCUAGGGGAUUUUAACAUCCACGCCGACACGACCUUACAAGGGGCCGCUCGGGACUUCGUGGAAAGCAUGGCCUCCAUGGGGCUGUCCCUGAAUAAGUUGGGCCCAACUCAUAGUCAUGGACAUGCCUUAGACCUGGUAUUCACCUCUAGUGAUGUGGGUGAUCUGACACUAAGUAAAAGUGAAACCAAAGAAGUGCCAUGGUCAGAUCACUUCCUGGUGCAACUGGACUUCUCCGCGACCCUUCCCCUCUGCAGGGAGGUGGGACCAAUUCGGAUGGUCCGCCCCGCCACUUAAUGGAUCCAAAUGGUUUCCAGAGAGUGGUAGGGGAUGCUUUAUCCCAUGUUGAUGGCCUUUCAGCUGAUUCCCUGGUGGCCCGCUGGAAUGCGGAGUUAACCAGGGCUAUCGACUGUCUGGCUCCGAGCGCCCUCUCCGAUUGCAUGGAGCCCGGACAGCCCCGUGGUUUUCUUCGGAGCUGAGGGCGAUGAAACAAUCGCUGAGACGGCUAGAGCGUCGGUGGCAGAAAACUCACUCCGAAUCUGACCGGACACAGGUUAGAGCUCAACGUCGAGCCUACCAAGUGGCGAUAGCGACGGCGAAGAAGACUUUCUUCACCGCCUCUAUUGCAUCUGCAGAAAAUAGUAGCAGGAGACUCUUUCAGGUGGUCCGCAAUUUAAUGGAACCACCUUUACCACCGGGGCCUUGUAAAGACCCCAAGAUCUCCUGCAACGAUUUUGCAAAGUUUUUUGCAGAUAAAAUCACUCAUAUUCGGAAGGAGCUAGACACCACCGUGGGAGCAGGGCUGGGGCGGGAGAGUGCUAGAGCCCUGUCUGGUCAAGUUGCAUGGAAUCAAUUUCAAUCCGUUACCCCCGAGGAUGUGGACAGGCUGCUUGGACGCGUGAAACCAACCACCUGUCUCCUUGAUCCUUGCCCAUCCUGGCUAAUAAAAGCAAGCCGGGAAGGGCUGGGCGAUGGGCUCUGAGGGGUGGUGAAUGCUUCCCUCUGUGAGGGAACAUUCCCAGAUCCACUGAAAGAGGCGGUCAUUAAACCGCUUCUUAAAAAACCAUCUUUAGACCCGGCCAGUAUGGCCAACUAUCGCCCAGUCUCAAAUCUUCCAUUCUUGGGCAAGGUUAUUGAGCGUGUGGUUGCUGAACAACUCCAGGCACGCCUGGAGGAUGCGGACCAUUUGGAUCCCUUCCAAUCAGGGUUCAGGCCUCAUCAUGGGACUGAAACUGCCUUGGUCGCACUGGUUGAUGAUCUCCGGCGAGCUAGGGACAAAGGUGAGAGUUGUUUCCUAGUUCUGCUGGAUCUCUCAGCGGCCAUUGAUACAAUCGACCAUAACAUCCUUCUGGACCGUCUAGAGGGGUUGGGAGCUGGGGGCACUGUUAUACAGUGGUUUCGCUCCUUCCUCCUGGGCCGUGUUCAGAAAGUGGUGGUGGGGGAUGAGUGUUCAGACCCUUGGGCCCUCACUUGUGGGGUGCCUCAGGGUUCCGUCCUCUCCCCCAUGCUUUUUAACAUCUAUAUGAAGCCGCUGGGAGAAAUCAUCAGGGGGUUGGACUGGGUGUCCAUCAAUAUGCAGAUGAUACCCAGCUCUACCUCUCUUUCAAAUCAGAACCAGUGAAGGCGGUGAAGGUCCUGUGUGAGUGCCUGGAGGCGGUUGGAGGAUGGAUGGCGGCUAAUGGAUUGAAGUUGAAUCCUGACAAGACAGAAGUACUGUUUUUGGGGGACAGGGGCGGGCUGGUGUGGAGGACUCCCUGGUCCUGAAUAGGGUAACUGUGCCCCUGAAGGACCAGGUGCGUAGCCUGGGAGUCAUUUUGGACUCACAGCUGUCCAUGGAGGCGCAGGUCAAUUCUGUAUCCAGGGCAGCUGUCUACCAACUCCACCUGGUACGCAGGCUGAGACCCUACCUGCCCGCGGACUGUCUCGCCAGAGUGGUGCAUGCUCUAGUUAUCUCCCGCUUGGACUACUGCAAUGCGCUCUACGUGGGGCUACCUUUGAAGGUGACUCGGAAACUACAGCUAAUCCAGAAUGCGGCAGCUAGACUGGUGACUGGGGGCGGCCGCCGAGACCACAUAACACCGGUCUUGAAAGACCUACAUUGGCUCCCAGUACGUUUCCGAGCACAAUUCAAAGUGCUGGUGUUGACCUUUAAAGCCCUAAACGGCCUCGGCCCAGUAUACCUGAAGGAGCGUCUCCACCCCCAUCGUUCUGCCCGGACGCUGAGGUCCAGCGCCGAGGGCCUUCUGGCGGUUCCCUCAUUGCGAGAAGCAAAGCUACAGGGAACCAGGCAGAGGGCCUUUUCAGUAGUGGCGCCCGCCCUGUGGAACGCCCUCCCAUCAGAUGUCAAAACGAUAAACAACUACCUGACAUUCAGAAGACAUCUUAAGGCAGCCCUGUUCAGGGAAGUUUUUAAUGUAUGAUAUUUUAGUGUUUUUGGUUUCUAUGGAAGCCGCCCAGAGUGGCUGGGGAAACCCAGCCAGAUGGGCGGGGUACAAAUAAUAAAUUAUUAUUAUUAUUAUUAUUAUUAUUUUGUACACAUUACCUGGCUGAAGAACUGCAUUGCAAAAUUCAGAGAAUGCGAAUUUUAAAAGGUGGUGUUACUAUUGAAUUAGGUAAGUUUGCCUUUAAAUUUGAACUGAAUAGAAUUUCUCCUCCAUCCAAACAUCUACAUCACCAAGCUGAAUUCAGCGUAAUACAGACCAUUGCUCAGCCACAAAAGUUACUGGGUGAAUUUGUGUCAGUCAGUAACUCUCGGCUUGGCCUACACGCAGCUUUGUUGUGUGGAUAGGCCAAGCUCUUGAGGUAAAAUAAAUGCCAAAAGCAGUGCUGGUUUUUUCUAGAAAAAGAAGUGCCAGAGCUGACCAUGAACUUCUCCCUUAUUCUCUUAGAAUGGCAAUGGCGCCCACCUGAAUGUGCCGGAACUGAGCUCCGCUGAAAAAAAAUAACCUUGGUCAUAAAUUACUGUAUUUCAUCAAAUAGCGGGCAUUCAGUGUUCCCAAAACUACCACUCCAGUUUUCUGGGAGUGAUGCAUAAAGGGAUUGAGCAUUAAAAGUGAACUGGUGAGACAACAAUAUACCGUAGAUAUACCCGCAGUUUCAUCUUCUCCAGCUGCUCCUUCGGUUUCAGUUGAAAAGUUGGGGCAUUUCCCACAAUCAGAGGAGAGGGCCCUGUCCUGGUGCAAAUCUUCUUGAAGAAGAACAGGAAGAAGGUAGCAGCAGGUGGAAAGUAGCUCCAUUUCCCUCUUACAUUUUGGCCUAGACUGCCUUCUGGCCGGGUUGCCAUAUGUGCCUCUAAAUAAAGGAGAAGCUGAUUGUGUGAAGCAGCUCAUCACUGCCCGGAUGAUUAUAUCCAUACCUCACAGUUUUUCUAACAUGGAUGAAAUAGCAAAAUGGAAACCCCGCUUCGUACAAAUGCCCAUGUAGCUUUUGUCCUUGACAACAAGGAUGACAUAAGAGUGGAGAUCCCUCAACUCCAUAAGCUCAGAACCCCUUUGUUCUACUGGGCCAUCCUCUUCUUUCAGCUACAAAGGCAGCAAAAUUCCAGCUGUCCCCCCCCCCCAUCUGCAGCCUGUCCAUUUAUUUCCCCUAACAAAAUCCCUUGUAUUUCAUAUUUGACUGGCUCUCUUAAGGGGACUAGUGGAUCCCUCGCCCUUGUGAAAUGUCCACUUAAUUAACUAAAAUUGUUCUCAUAGAUCAGCACUUCCCUCCUUGAACCGAUGCGUUUCCCUCGCUUUUCAUGGCUGAAUUGGCCUGGCCACAGCAAGAUCAGUUGAAAGAACAUAAAUUAUACUUGCAAACUAAAUGCUGCAAUAUUUUUUCCGCCUUGUGAGUCACUGGGGCAAGAUGAAACGUCUUGGCAUCACUUUGUCCAAACCACGCAGAGUUAGUCAUCACAAAGUAUGUCAAGUGAGCCACCUGGCAGACUGCAGGCCAGCAUACAUUAUGGACCUGAAAAAUGGAACACAGGAAAAGAGGCUCCAAAAUAUUGCCUGUGUGUGUGUGUGUGUGUGUGUGUGUGUGUGAUCCAAAAUACUGUGAGCUACAAACAUCACACCACACUGAUACUUAUCAAAAUGAAGGUGCAAUGGCCUUUAAAAGCAUCUAUCCCCCUCCAUGGCAC
Podarcis lilfordi (Lilford's wall lizard) is the source of this 5992-nucleotide non-coding RNA. The record is from the annotation of a GenBank genome assembly. Lineage: Eukaryota; Metazoa; Chordata; Lepidosauria; Squamata; Lacertidae.